This 253-nucleotide ribosomal RNA is filed under the name uncultured prokaryote. RNAcentral's name for it is "partial 16S ribosomal RNA". It matches the Rfam family "Bacterial small subunit ribosomal RNA", at positions 523 to 775 of the family's 1533-position model. The record is from RNAcentral.
AUACGUAGGUGGCGAGCGUUGUCCGGAAUUACUGGGUGUAAAGGGCGUGUAGGCGGGGAAACAAGUCAGAUGUGAAAUUCCAAGGCUCAACCUUGGCGCUGCAUCUGAAACUGUAUCUCUUGGGUGCUGGAGAGGAAAGCGGAAUUCCUAGUGUAGCGGUGAAAUGCGUAGAUAUUAGGAGGAACACCAGUGGCGAAGGCGGCCUUCUGGACAGUAACUGACGCUGAGGCGCGAAAGCGUGGGGAGCAAACAG